AGAGUUUGAUCAUGGCUCAGGAUGGACGCUGGCGGCGUGCCUAACACAUGCAAGUCGAGCGAGGACUUCGGUCCUAGCGGCGGACGGGUGAGUAACGCGUGGGUAAUCUGCCUCAUACACACGGAUAACGUACCGAAAGGUACGCUAAUACGAGAUAAAGUUAAGAAAUGGCAUCAUUUCUUAAUCAAAGAAUUUCGGUAUGAGAUGAGCCCGCGUCCCAUUAGCUAGUUGGUAAGGUAAAAGCUUACCAAGGCGACGAUGGGUAGCCGACCUGAGAGGGUGAUCGGCCACACUGGAACUGAGACACGGUCCAGACUCCUACGGGAGGCAGCAGUGGGGAAUAUUGCACAAUGGGCGAAAGCCUGAUGCAGCAACGCCGCGUGAGCGAUGAAGGUCUUCGGAUCGUAAAGCUCUGUCCUCAAGGAAGAAUUUUGACGGUACUUGAGGAGGAAGCCCCGGCUAACUACGUGCCAGCAGCCGCGGUAAUACGUAGGGGGCUAGCGUUAUCCGGAAUUAUUGGGCGUAAAGGGUGCGUAGGCGGUCCUACAAGUCAGAGGUGAAAGGCUACGGCUCAACCGUAGUAAGCCUUUGAAACUGUAGGACUUGAGUGCAGGAGAGGAGAGUGGAAUUCCCAGUGUAGCGGUGAAAUGCGUAGAUAUUGGGAGGAACACCAGUUGCGAAGGCGGCUCUCUGGACUGUAACUGACGCUGAGGCACGAAAGCGUGGGGAGCGAACAGGAUUAGAUACCCUGGUAGUCCACGCCGUAAACGAUGAGUACUAGGUGUCGGGGGUUACCCCCCUCGGUGCCGCAGCUAACGCAUUAAGUACUCCGCCUGGGAAGUACGCUCGCAAGAGUGAAACUCAAAUGAAUUGACGG
This 877-nucleotide ribosomal RNA is filed under the name uncultured bacterium. RNAcentral's name for it is "bacterial SSU rRNA". It matches the Rfam family "Bacterial small subunit ribosomal RNA", at positions 8 to 916 of the family's 1533-position model. The record is from RNAcentral.